GAAUCUUCUUGCUGAUCUACCUGCUGCCACACAUUUCUUUUUCAGUCACUGCAAAUAUCUUGGAUUUCCCCUUUUCUUACUACACAAUGACAGAUUGCCCUGAACACGGACAAGAGAGCCAGUUAAACGGUUCACUUCUUGAUGCUGGGAGCAUAGGAAGCUAAUGAACAUCCUGUUCUUCAUAUGUUAAAUACCUGUGAAACAAUGGAAAUAUAGGUUGUUUUUCGCCUCAGCUGUAGAGCUGCUAAUAUCUGACUACUAUGCAUGGAGUGGGGAGACUCAUUCCUUAUAAUCCAACAAAUCCACAUCCCAUUUUAAAUUUAGCAGCAAGUGUAUCUGAAAGGAGCAAUGUUCCCUCUGCUUUUACCAAGGAAGAAGAGUAACUGCAGGUAGUGGCAGUGCUGUGAAAUCUGAGAUUUGUCCUAAGGUCAGGAGUGUGGAAGGAGCAGGGGUUCUGAUCACAACUGAUCUGCAUCUUCUGAGACAUUAUUAUCAUCCUGAACUAAACAAAAGAGUAAGUGCUCUUAAGAAAACUGAAGUUGACAGAGAAAAGGGGCUGAGCCAUGAUGAUUAUAUCCAGAUGGAGAUGCCCCUUACUCACUGGAUUCAUGGAAUACCACUCGCAGGAGAUGCAGCUGGUUCUGCUCCACCCUAAACACACACAGCCAGGAGGAGUAAGGGCUAAACAUUCCUCUCCCAAAAACAAAGUUUUUGUGCUCCCCUGUCAAUUCCUCUCGGUGUUAUACUUCUAUGCAUGAAUGCAGUAACUUUACAGCAUGACCUGCAGACAG
This 791-nucleotide long non-coding RNA is filed under the name Anser brachyrhynchus (Pink-footed goose). RNAcentral's name for it is "lncRNA (ENSABRG00000012267.1)". Lineage: Eukaryota; Metazoa; Chordata; Aves; Anseriformes; Anatidae. The record is from RNAcentral.